RNAcentral lists this ribosomal RNA (158 nucleotides) under Sclerotinia nivalis. RNAcentral describes it as "5.8S ribosomal RNA". It matches the Rfam family "5.8S ribosomal RNA". From Rfam's summary of the family: 5.8S ribosomal RNA (5.8S rRNA) is a component of the large subunit of the eukaryotic ribosome. It is transcribed by RNA polymerase I as part of the 45S precursor that also contains 18S and 28S rRNA. The record is from RNAcentral. Lineage: Eukaryota; Fungi; Ascomycota; Leotiomycetes; Helotiales; Sclerotiniaceae.
AAACUUUCAACAACGGAUCUCUUGGUUCUGGCAUCGAUGAAGAACGCAGCGAAAUGCGGUAAGUAAUGUGAAUUGCAGAAUUCAGUGAAUCAUCGAAUCUUUGAACGCACAUUGCGCCCCUUGGUAUUCCGGGGGGCAUGCCUGUUCGAGCGUCAUUU